UACAGAGGGUGCAAACGUUGUUCGGAAUUACUGGGCGUAAAGCGUGUGUAGGCGGUGAGGUAAGUCGGAUGUGAAAGCCCAGGGCUCAACCCUGGAAGUGCACUCGAUACUGCUUCGCUUGAGUACUGGAGAGGUUGGUGGAAUUCUCGGUGUAGAGGUGAAAUUCGUAGAUAUCGAGAGGAACAUCUGUGGCGAAGGCGGCCAACUGGACAGAUACUGACGCUGAGACACGAAAGUGUGGGGAGCAAACAGG
This 253-nucleotide ribosomal RNA is filed under the name uncultured bacterium. RNAcentral's name for it is "partial 16S ribosomal RNA". It matches the Rfam family "Bacterial small subunit ribosomal RNA", at positions 524 to 776 of the family's 1533-position model. The record is from RNAcentral.